UCGGCGGGGGUGCCCGAAAGGGAAUUGGAACACAGGUGCUGCAUGGCUGUCGUCAGCUCGUGUCGUGAGAUGUUGGGUUAAGUCCCGCAACGAGCGCAACCCUUAUCAUUAGUUGCUACGCAAGGGCACUCUAAUGAGACUGCCGGUGACAAACCGGAGGAAGGUGGGGAUGACGUCAAGUCCUCAUGGCCCUUAUGGGUAGGGCUUCACACGUCAUACAAUGGUCGGUACAGAGGGUUGCCAAGCCGCGAGGUGGAGCCAAUCCCAGAAAGCCGAUCGUAGUCCGGAUUGUUCUCUGCAACUCGAGAGCAUGAAGUCGGAAUCGCUAGUAAUCGCGGAUCAGCAUGUCGCGGUGAAUACGUUCCCGGGUCUU
RNAcentral lists this ribosomal RNA (373 nucleotides) under uncultured Thiobacillus sp. Its description in RNAcentral is "bacterial SSU rRNA". It matches the Rfam family "Bacterial small subunit ribosomal RNA", at positions 1005 to 1382 of the family's 1533-position model. Lineage: Bacteria; Pseudomonadati; Pseudomonadota; Betaproteobacteria; Nitrosomonadales; Thiobacillaceae. The record is from RNAcentral.